RNAcentral lists this ribosomal RNA (101 nucleotides) under uncultured bacterium. RNAcentral describes it as "partial 16S ribosomal RNA". It matches the Rfam family "Bacterial small subunit ribosomal RNA", at positions 1384 to 1482 of the family's 1533-position model. The record is from RNAcentral.
UACACACCGCCCGUCACGCCAUGGGAGUUGGUUUCACCCGAAGGUGGUGCGCUAACCCGCAAGGGAGGCAGCCAACCACGGUGGGAUCAGCGACUGGGGUG